GGCUGCUCCGAAGGUAGUGAGUUAUCUCACUUGAUUGUUCAUUUACAGAUUGAACGCCUUGUUUUACUCAUUCCCUCCCUUCUCACUACUGCACUUGACUAGUCCUUA
Molecule: unclassified non-coding RNA, 108 nt
Organism: Otolemur garnettii (small-eared galago)
Lineage: Eukaryota; Metazoa; Chordata; Mammalia; Primates; Galagidae
Rfam family: Y RNA
About the family: Y RNAs are components of the Ro ribonucleoprotein particle (Ro RNP), in association with Ro60 and La proteins. The Y RNAs and Ro60 and La proteins are well conserved, but the function of the Ro RNP is not known.
Source: Ensembl